AAAACCAAGCAGAAGGGAAUAACAUUCCACAGUUUCCCAAAAAACACAGAUAGGAGACGGGCAUGGGUAGCAGCAGUGAGGAGAAAGGACUUUGUCCCGAGUGACUCCUCAGUCAUCUGCAGCUGUCACUUCAGACCUGAGGACUUCGACAGGACUGGGCAGAC
Epinephelus lanceolatus (giant grouper) is the source of this 164-nucleotide non-coding RNA. The record is from RefSeq and is a predicted model, not a curated record. NCBI's taxonomy places the organism in Eukaryota, Metazoa, Chordata, Actinopteri, Perciformes, Serranidae.